AGAGUUUGAUUAUGGCUCAGAUUGAACGCUGGCGGCGUGCCUAACACAUGCAAGUCGAGCGGUAACAGGCGUAGCAAUACGUGCUGACGAGCGGCGAACGGGUGCGUAAUACAUGGGAAUCUGCCCUUUAGUGGGGAAUAACCCGGCGAAAGCCGGGCUAAUGCCGCAUACGAUCUUCGGAUGAAAGCGGGGGACCGUAAGGCCUCGCGCUGUUGGAUGAGCCCAUGUCGGAUUAGCUAGUUGGUGAGGUAACGGCUCACCAAGGCGACGAUCCGUAGCUGGUCUGAGAGGACGGCCAGCCACACUGGGACUGAGACACGGCCCAGACUCCUACGGGAGGCAGCAGUGGGGAAUAUUGGACAAUGGGCGAAAGCCUGAUCCAGCAGCCGCGGUAAUAA
Molecule: ribosomal RNA, 398 nt
Filed under: uncultured Gammaproteobacteria bacterium
Lineage: Bacteria; Pseudomonadati; Pseudomonadota; Gammaproteobacteria
Description: bacterial SSU rRNA
Rfam family: Bacterial small subunit ribosomal RNA
Source: RNAcentral